Molecule: long non-coding RNA, 16194 nt
Filed under: Citrus maxima (pomelo)
Lineage: Eukaryota; Viridiplantae; Streptophyta; Magnoliopsida; Sapindales; Rutaceae
Description: long non-coding RNA (CMAX_LNC001776)
Source: RNAcentral
UUUUUUUUUUUUGGUGACUCGGCUAAAAGUGGGGCUCCAUUUUUACGCUUGGUGAUACAGUAAAGUGCAAGUUUUUUUUUUUUUUUUUUCCCCCGAAAUUUCAAAAUGCUCAAGAUUGAUACAGUUUCCUGUUAAAAUUGAGAGAAGGAAAAUAUAAAAUGACUUCGGUUGCACCUUUUUUCCUUGGCAAGUGUCGGUGCGAGCUUCAUUCCUUGUGCCGCUCAGCAUAAUGUCAUUAUUGCUAAUUAUCAUAUGUUUAUCAAAGGAAUUGGACUCUUUCAAAUUAUUGCAAGUUUCACCUUCGGGAAGCAAGAAGGAUACAUUAUUGUUUCGACUUUAUUUAUUUAUUUAUUUAUUUAUAAAUUAUCAUUAAUUGAGUGAUCUAAUUAGAAAAAUUAUUAAACCAAACCACCCCUUGUCUUUUCUCUCGUGGGGUGUCUUAACCCUAAAUUGAUACGACUCGAAGUCAUUGCAGUUGUGAUGGCACUUUAAUUAACGUAAAGAUCCUCAAAUCAAACCUCGAACGCAGCAUUCAUUAUUAACCAGAAAACUCCACAUUUUGACUUGUGAUUUAAGCUUAAGUUAGCUACCUGGCGACUUGGAUUACUUAACUAAUUAUGUUGACCAUCACCAAACCUAAAGUCUACAGAACAGCAAGAGCCAUCAAGAACCGUCGGUGGGGUUUCCUCCUCACAUUGCUCUUCUUCAUGGGCUGUGAUUUGGUGAAUCUCUAUCUACCGUACUAUGUUUGCUUCCAAAAUCCCCAAAAAGGGCCAAAUAAGUGACAAGUUGUAUUAAUUAAUAGUAGAAUUUCAAGAUUAAUAAUUCUACCACUAUUUUUAAGUUUCUAUCAAAUUUCUAUUAAAUAUACUCACUAAAGUGUUUUUUUUCCCAUUAGUUGCUGAUGAUUACUAUUUUCGGGUUUUGUUAAAAUAUUUAAAUUAAUAACUUAAAAAAAAAAAGGAAAAUUGCAUUAUUUUAUUAGAAUUAUUUAGAAAUAAGUAUCAGCCUGUACAUAAUUAUAUAUUUAAUCAAGAUUCUCUGUCAAACUCACAAGAAGAUCAUUAAUCAAAACACCUUCCAACCAUCUGAUCUACAACUACAAGGGCCUCGCCAAUCGCCAUGAGACAUGGACCCCACGUUCUCUGACACUACACUCUUUCACAUGCCCAGAAGCAAGCCAAGACCCUUUUUAUUUAUUUUUUUAUUUUUGGGACGGUUUUAAAACGGCAGCAAAAACAUAGGGGAUAACAUUGGAACCCCUAGCUAUUCUCAUUCACAACGAAUAACUUUAGUUCGUGCAUGUAAUCAAAUAGACCCCUAGUCUUUAUAAAUAUACACUUAAAAAUCAACAGAGACAUGCCCGGAUCAGCUUUAUGAUAGCAUAUCCUAAAUAUGAGGCUUUGGAAUGAGUGAAUUUAAUUUUAAAUAUUUGAAGAAAAUUUUCUUCUAUUAAUAUAGAUAAUAAAUAAAUUUAAACCUUUUCAAAAAAAAAAAAUUUAAUAUGUUCAUAUCAUCAUAUGCACAAAAAGAAAGAUAUGUUAAUAAAUAAGUGGUUCUAGAUAUAUUUUAAAAUUUUUUAAUUAUAAAAUAAUAUGAUACAAAAAUUUUGGACAGACAAUAAUAGUUAGUUUUGUUAACAUAAAUAUGUUAAUAAUAUUGAUUUUGAUGAUAACAAAUUUUAAAUGAUUUUUUAUAAAAGUAUUGGAGCUAUUUCUUAAUAAACGAGAGCCUUAGUAAUCAUUCCAUUCAUGCUUCAUAAAAGAUGGACUUUAAAAUUAGAAAAAGAUUCUCUGCAAAAAUAAAAAACUGGUUUAAAAUGUAAUUCUGGUUAUAAACGGUAAACCGUUUAUUUAAACGGUUAACCGAUAACAGCCAGAGAGCAACAUAUUUCCUAAGCCUCUAACCGUUUAUGAAAAACGGAAAACACAAAAGAUGGGAAGGUUACUGGAACUUAACGGUGAACCGUUUAUUUUAAACGGUUAACCGAUUAUCACCAGAGAGCAACAUAUUACCUAAGCUCUAACCGUUUAUGCUUACCGGAAAACACCCAAGAUGGGAAGGCUACUGGAACCUAACGGUGAACCGUUUAUUUUAAACGAUUAACCGAUAACGUCCAGAAUUGAAGGUUGUCCUCCUCUGGCACUGAUUAACGAAAACUGAUAAGGCUAAAUUGUUUUGCAGGUUACUGGAGACAAACGGCGAACCGUUUAUAUCAAACGGUUAACCAAUAAUGUCCAGAGAAGCCACUUCACGCAAGUCCUUAACCGUUUAGCGUAAACUGAUAACAAAUACUCAUUUUGCAGGUCUCUGGAAGUUAACGGCGAAAGGGCAACCCUAAACGGCAAACCGUUUAUUUGAAAUCUGGCCCAACGGUAACUUUGACCAGCCUAAACGGUUAACCGUUUAUGGUUAACGGCGAACCGUUUUCUGUCCGACAGUUUGUAACGGCUAGAUUUUCGGCUCCAAAUAUAAAUAAGCUCAUUCAAAUUCAAAGAAGAUUGAUCACAACACGACCAUUUGAGCUAAUAUUCGAGAAUACAAUCUUCAUAGAGCUUAGAACAUAUUCUUGCUUCAUCUAUUCACAUAUUAAGCAUCAUUGUGUAAUCUUAUAUAUUGUGAGAGGCAAAACAAUUUAUAAUCUUUUAUUUUGAGUGAUUGUAAGUGUUGGGAUACACUUGGGUUAAGAGAUUAGGGAUAAUCUUUUGUUGUAAAGGUUCAUUGACACCUUGGAAGUCAAGUGUAAGCAUUUGAAGCCUUGGAGGCUUGCUUAGUGGAAUCCUCAAGCCCGGAAAGCUUGAAGGCGUGGACGUAGGCGAGGUUGGCCGAACCACGUAAAAAUCUCGGUGUUUGAAUCCCUCUUUCCUUAUCUUUUUAUAUUGUGAUUCUCUUAAUUGUUAUUGCUUUGAAUUUGAUUUAUAAUUGCAUUAAGAUUUUCUUUAAUAAAUUGAAUAAUUUUUUUAGAAUCCCAAUUCACCCCCCCUCUUGGGUUGCAUUCUUGUAUUUCAAUUGGUAUCAGAGCCUCGUUCUCUUGUUAAGACUUAAUCGUCUAGAGUAAAAGAUCCAUGGCAACCCUAAAUGACUCAACCUUUAGAGAAGGGCAAUCCACAACUAGACCACCAUUUUUCGAUGGUAAUGACUAUGCUUAUUGGAAAACUAGAAUGAGAAUUUAUUUGCAAGCCUUAGAUUAUGAAAUUUGGGAAGUUGUUUGUGAUGGUCCAUUCAUGCCUACGUUCAAAGAUGAAGUAGGAGAUGAUAUUCCUAAACCAUCGAGUCAAUGGAGUGAGUUAGAAAAGAGAAAGAUGUCUCUAAACUCCAAGGCUAUGAAUGCUUUGUUUUGUGCCCUUGAUAAGAAAGAAUUCCAUAGAGUAUCUAGUUGUGAAAGUGCACAAGAGAUAUGGAACAAACUUGAAGUUGUCUAUGAAGGGACAAAUCAAGUGAAAGAGUCUAAAAUCAGUAGAUACACUCGUCAAUAUGAGUUGUUCUAAAUGGAACAAAAUGAAAUGUGUAUUCUAUGUAUACUAGAUUCACGGACAUAGUGAACACCCUAGGUGCCUUAGGGAAAACCUUCUCAAAUAGUGAGAAAGUUAAGAAAAUCAUUAGGUCUCUUCCAAAAGAAUGGAGACCUAAAAGAACCGCUAUUGAAGAGGCCAAAGAUUUAAAUACUUUACCUCUUGAUGAUUUAAUUGGUUCUCUUAUUUCGUAUGAAGAGGAUUUAGCUGCAGAAAGAGGACAUGAGGAGAAGAAGAAAAGCAUUGCUCUCAAAGCUUCAAAAUAUGAGAGUGAUGAGGAGAGUGAACCGGAUAAUGAAGAACUAGUCAUGCUAGCAAGGAGGUUCAGAAAAUUCUUCAAGAAAACCGGAGAGCGAAGAAAUUUCAGAAACUUCAAGAACUAUAGGGAGAAGAAGGAGGCAAUCACUUGCUAUGAAUGCAAGAAGCCUGGACAUAUAAGAUCGGAGUGCCCACUUAUCAACAAACUCAAGAAGAAAGCAAUGGUUGCAACUUGGGAUGAUAGUGAGGAAGAAUCAAAUGAUGAAGAAGGAUCGCAAGAAGUAUCAAACCUAGCACUCAUGGCAAUAGGAGGAGAUGAUGAUCUCAAUGAGGUAAGUGAUCCUACCUAUGAUGAAUUAUAUGAUGCUUUUCAAGAUUUGCAUAAUGAGUUGAUGAAAAUUGGUAAAAAGAAUGUAUGUCUUAAAAAGGAAAUGGCAAAGCUUAAAAAUGAAAAUGAAUCUCUAAAUGCAAGAAUUGUAUGCCUAGAAGUAGGAAACAAAACAUUGCAUGAUGAAAUUGCAUUAUCAAAUGAGAAACCUAGCAUCUUACAUGAGCAUUUGAAAUCACACAUAGAUGAGUUGAAAAAUGAGAACGAAUUGCUCAAGAAAAAGAAUAAUGAAUUAAAUGAAAUUGUUUUGAAAUUUACAAAUGGGCAAAAGAUGUUGGAUAAUAUGCUUAACUCACAAAAAUGUAUUUUUGAUAAAGGAGGACUUGGAUAUAAGCCAAAUUUGAAGCAAAAGUAUUAUAAGAAUUAUUUUGUUAAAGCUACCUCCACAAAUGAUCAUAAGAUUGUAUGUCAUUAUUGUAAUCAAAAUGGUCACAUGAAAUUUAAAUGUCCCGUGAAAAGGAAUGCAUAUUAUGGUGUCAAGUGCAUUUGGGUUCCAAAAGGAACCGUUGCUAACUCUCAAGGACCCAAAAAGCUUUGGGUACCUAAAACUUGAGACUUUUUCUUGUAGGGCUUGAAGAAGAAGAAUAAUAAAUGGUACUUGGACAGCGGUUGUUCAAGGCACAUGACCGGAAACUAUGCAUGGUUCUCAAGCUUUACCAAAAUUGAAAAUGGUGGAGACGUAUCCUUUGGAGACAACUCAAAAGGAAAAAUCCUUGGAAUUGGAAAUGUUGGUAAAGUUUCUUCAACUCUAAUUGAGAAUGUAUGUUUGGUUGAAAACUUGAAACACAACUUAAUUAGCAUUAGUCAAUUAUAUGACAAAGGUUAUAAAGUUAUCUUUGAUAAAUUUAGUUGUGUUAUUGAGAACUCAUGUGAUGGCAAAACCUUAUUUUUUGGAAAUAGAUGUGGUAAUGUUUAUAUCAUUGACAUAGAAUGUGCAUCUACUCUUGAUAAAUGUUUUUCGGCAUUGCAUGAUGAUUGUUGGUUGUGGCAUAGAAGGUUAGGACAUGCAAGUAUGGAUUUGAUUUCAAAAAUUUCAAAAGAUGAUUUAGUUAAAGGUCUUCCGAAAAUUGGUUUUCAAAAGGAUAAGAUUUGUGAAGCUUGUCAAUUUGGAAAACAAAUUAAAACUUCUUUCAAGAAUAAAAACCAUAUUUCUACUUCAAAACCACUUGAACUUCUUCACAUAGAUCUUUUUGGGCCAUCUAGAUAUGCAAGUCUAAAUGGCAAAUAUUAUGCUUUUGUGAUAGUGGAUGAUUAUUCUAGAUAUACAUGGGUAUUAUUCUUAGCCAAUAAGGAUGAUGCUCUUGAUGCAUUUAAAGUGCUUUGUAAGAAAUUACAAAAUGAAAAAGGGCAUGGUAUUGUAUGCAUUAGGAGUGAUCAUGGAGGAGAAUUUGAAAAUCAUGCAUUUGAGAGUUUUUGCAAUAAUCUAGGCAUUGAGCAUCAAUUUUCUUCACCUAGAACUCCACAACAAAAUGAAGUUGUUGAGAGAAAGAAUAGGUCUAUUCAAGAAAUGGCUAGGACCAUGUUAAAUGAAAAUGCAUUACCAAAAUAUUUUUGGGCCGAAGCCGUCAACACCGCUUGUUAUGUUUUAAAUCGGGUGUUGAUUAGACCUAAUCUUAAUAAAACUUCAUAUGAGCUUUGGAAAGAUAGAAAACCCAACAUUGGCUAUUUUAAAGUUUUUGGAUGCAAAUGUUUUGUUUUGAACACAAAAGACAAUCUUGGUAAAUUUGAUUCAAAAUCCGAUGUUGGUAUUUUUCUUGGUUAUUCAAAUUCAAGCAAAGCUUAUAGAGUUUAUAACAAAAGAACUUUAGUUGUGGAAGAAUCUAUGCAUGUCACAUUUGAUGAGUCUAACCCCUCCUCUACGAAGAAAGUCGUUGUUGAUGAUGAUGCAGGAGAAGAAGAACAAGAAGAAGAAGCAUCAAAUGACAAUCAAGAGGAUGCACCACAUGGAAUUCAAGAGGAACAUCAUGAAGAACCAAAUGUGGAGCAAAAUGAAGGUACUUCUCAAACACUCCCCAAGGAGUGGAGGUAUGUCUCUUCUCACCCUAAAGAUGUAAUUUUAGGAGAUCCCUCACGAGGUAUAACAACUAGAUCAUCACUUAGAAAUACUUGUGAGCAUAAUGCAUUCAUCUCUCAAAUUGAACCAAAAUCCUUUGAGGAUGCAGAAAAUGAUGAAUCUUGGAUUAUGGCAAUGCAAGAGGAGUUAAAUCAAUUUGAAAGAAACAAUGUGUGGGAACUAGUUCCUAAACCUGAACAUCAAUCUAUAAUAGGUACUAAAUGGGUGUUUAGAAAUAAGAUGGAUGAAUCCGGUGUGGUUGUAAGAAACAAAGCUAGAUUAGUGGCUCAAGGUUACAACCAAGAGGAAGGAAUUGAUUUUGAUGAAACCUUUGCACCUGUAGCAAGGUUAGAAUCCAUUAGGAUGUUGUUAGCAUAUGCAUGUCAUAAGGAUUUUAUUUUAUAUCAAAUGGAUGUCAAGAGUGCUUUCUUAAAUGGAUAUAUUUUGGAGGAAGUUUAUGUGAAACAACCUCCUGGUUUUGAAAAUGAAAAAUUUCUAAAUCAUGUGUAUAAGUUGCUCAAAGCCUUGUAUGGAUUAAAACAAGCACCUAGAGCAUGGUAUGAUAGACUUAAAAAUUUCUUGCUAGAAAAUGACUUCUCUAUGGGUAAAGCGGAUACUACUCUUUUUGUUAAGCAUAAGAACCAAGACAUACUUAUUGUUCAAAUUUAUGUUGAUGAUAUUAUUUUUGGUUCUACUAAUGAGUUGUUGUGUAAAGAAUUUUCAUUGUGUAUGAGCAAAGAAUUUGAGAUGAGUAUGAUGGGAGAGUUGAAAUACUUCCUUGGACUUCAAAUCAAACAAAGCGAGGAAGGAAUUUUCAUAAAUCAAGCCAAGUACAUAAAGGAUCUACUCAAACGAUUCGGCAUUGAUGAUUCAAAGACCAAGAAUACACCAAUGAGCACAACAACCAAGCUGGACAAAGAUGAAAAAGGUAAAGAAGUGGAUAUCAAAAUGUAUCGAGGUAUGAUCGGAUCCCUACUCUAUUUGACUGCAAGUAGACCCGAUAUCAUGUUUAGUGUAUGUUUGUGUGCAAGAUUUCAGUCAUGUCCCAAGGAAUCUCAUUAUGAGGCUUUGGAAUGAGUGAAUUUAAUUUUAAAUAUUUGAAGAAAAUUUUCUUCUAUUAAUAUAGAUAAUAAAUAAAUUUAAACCUUUUCAAAAAAAAAAUUUAAUAUGUUCAUAUCAUCAUAUGCACAAAAAGAAAGAUAUGUUAAUAAAUAAGUGGUUCUAGAUAUAUUUUAAAAUUUUUUAAUUAUAAAAUAAUAUGAUACAAAAAUUUUGGACAGACAAUAAUAGUUAGUUUUGUUAACAUAAAUAUGUUAAUAAUAUUGAUUUUGAUGAUAACAAAUUUUAAAUGAUUUUUUAUAAAAGUAUUGGAGCUAUUUCUUAAUAAACGAGAGCCUUAGUAAUCAUUCCAUUCAUGCUUCAUAAAAGAUGGACUUUAAAAUUAGAAAAAGAUUCUCUGCAAAAAUAAAAAACUGGUUUAAAAUGUAAUUCUGGUUAUAAACGGUAAACCGUUUAUUUAAACGGUUAACCGAUAACAGCCAGAGAACAACAUAUUUCCUAAACCUCUAACCGUUUAUGAAAAACGGAAAACACAAAAGAUGGGAAGGUUACUGGAACUUAACGGUGAACCGUUUAUUUUAAACGGUUAACCGAUUAUCACCAGAGAGCAACAUAUUACCUAAGCUCUAACCGUUUAUGCUUACCGGAAAACACCCAAGAUGGGAAGGCUACUGGAACCUAACGGUGAACCGUUUAUUUUAAACGAUUAACCGAUAACGUCCAGAAUUGAAGGUUGUCCUCCUCUGGCACUGAUUAACGAAAACUGAUAAGGCUAAAUUGUUUUGCAGGUUACUGGAGACAAACGGCGAACCGUUUAUAUCAAACGGUUAACCGAUAAUGUCCAGAGAAGCCACUUCACGCAAGUCCUUAACCGUUUAGCGUAAACUGAUAACAAAUACUCAUUUUGCAGGUCUCUGGAAGUUAACGGCGAAAGGGCAACCCUAAACGGCAAACCGUUUAUUUGAAAUCUGGCCCAACGGUAACUUUGACCAGCCUAAACGGUUAACCGUUUAUGGUUAACGGCGAACCGUUUUCUGUCCGACAGUUUGUAACGGCUAGAUUUUCGGCUCCAAAUAUAAAUAAGCUCAUUCAAAUUCAAAGAAGAUUGAUCACAACACGACCAUUUGAGCUAAUAUUCGAGAAUACAAUCUUCAUAGAGCUUAGAACAUAUUCUUGCUUCAUCUAUUCACAUAUUAAGCAUCAUUGUGUAAUCUUAUAUAUUGUGAGAGGCAAAACAAUUUAUAAUCUUUUAUUUUGAGUGAUUGUAAGUGUUGGGAUACACUUGGGUUAAGAGAUUGGGGAUAAUCUCUUGUUGUAAAGGUUCAUUGACACCUUGGAAGUCAAGUGUAAGCAUUUGAAGCCUUGGAGGCUUGCUUAGUGGAAUCCUCAAGCCCGGAAAGCUUGGAGGCGUGGACGUAGGCGAGGUUGGCCGAACCACGUAAAAAUCUCGGUGUUUGAAUCCCUCUUUCCUUAUCUUUUUAUAUUGUGAUUCUCUUAAUUGUUAUUGCUUUGAAUUUGAUUUAUAAUUGCAUUAAGAUUUUCUUUAAUAAAUUGAAUAAUUUUUUUAGAAUCCCAAUUCACCCCCCCUCUUGGGUUGCAUUCUUGUAUUUCAAGUUUAUGGCAGGAGUGACUUUUGAGAGAGCUUGGUAUCUUUAGGAUUGCUAUCAUUAGAGAGAUUGGUAGGUGAAAUAUUGUAAGGGACAUUAGGGGUGUUAUCCGCAAAGACCCUCUGAUGUUUAAGUCGGGGGUUGGGAGUAGCAUUGAUAAUAAAUAAUAACGUAGAUAAAAAAAAAAAAAAAAAAAAGACUUGGAUGAUAUUGUGCUCUAUCCUCCAUUAUCCUUUUUUUUUCCUAUCUUUGGGUACUGGCCUCGGUAUAUAAGAGGAAUAAUUAAAAGUAUAAUUAAGUUAGAAACAAUUAUUUCCUAUAUUGUAAAUUUUGAGUUUGACAAGGAUUAAGAUCUAUGAUAUUUUAUCUUAUUUAGUUUAGGACAUGUCCACUUUUGUCAUUAGGUAAAAAUCUAAGUACAACAAACAAUCUACUAAUAUUUAUAAUUAAAACUCCAUUAUUUUUUUAAUUUUAAUAUACUAUUUGGGAUAUCUUGUACUACUCUUAUUCAAAUUAUAUUAUAAUACAAUCCUAAAAUAUAGAUAAAGAGUGGAGCUAUUGGCACUCCCUUAUUAAACUUUUAAAACCCCUAUUUUCUGCAAUUACAUUUAAGGACAAAUGUAAAUCUACCAUAUUUUCUCUCUCUAAAAUACAAACACGCCCAUACGCCCAUGCCUCGCAUAAGUACAAUUUUUCACUAUUUACAAUUUCUUGGCAUUCAUCAUCAAUUCCAUUCCAAAUAUCAAUGAAUUGUUUGAAUCUCAGGCAUCCAAAAAACUAAAAAAGAGUGUUAUAGACCUAACAAUCUUUUGUUUGAAAAAUCUCAUGACUAUCCAAUGGCUUAGCAUAAAUUAAGGAGUGGGACUAAGAGAAUUUAUAAAACGGCAAAAUUGCAAGAGAAAAGAUUUCAAGAGAUGGACGGAAAAUUGUAUGAAUGACGAGACCAAAAGCAUGACAUGAGAUAGGUGGCAGAAAUAUUUUCGAUAUUUAUUGUUGGGUAUUGUUGAGAAAAUCAAAUUUAGAAGAAGGGUAACUUUGGAAUUAAAGUAGGUGCUAAUAAUAACUAUAAAUUUUCUAUCAUUGUUCAAUGGGGUGUACUUAUAAUAGAGGUUUUAAAAGGAUAUUAGAGGGAUGCCAAUAGCCCCACUCAUAGAUAAAAAAUAAGUUAUACUUCUAAAUAUAUGGAAGAAAAUUAAUCUUUUUACAACACAAGGUAGUUGAAUAUUCAAAUUACCGAUGUAUAACUGAUGACAUACUGUGAAGUGUAUUUAAGUUAUUUUAUGGGACCUAAUUGACAGAAGAGAACAAACUAACGUGCUUGGACGAACAAUCACAGAAAACAGGGGGACCCAAAUCUCAUAAUGAAGAAAAAAAAAAAAACAUGAUCAAAACUACGUCUACGUGUGGUCGUGUGAGAAGUAGGGAGUGAGAUCACAAAUCGAAUUGAAAACUUGGCAUAAAAGUUAUCAACGAAAAGGAAAUUACAGCAACAAUAUAAGAAGAGUAAGCUUUGAGUCAAGACGGAGACAGAGAAAGCAAAGCCAGAUUCCAAAGUUGGUGAGGUGUACGCAUCCCUUUUGGGUGGCGACUAUUGCCUCUUCCCUCCCCCCUCCAACUCCCUUUCUCACUUUACAUAUCACAAACACAUUCUUCAUUCCUCUCCAAAUCUAAAUCACCAAGUAAAAAAUAAUAAAUAAAUAAAAAAGAAUGUCCGACAGAGUCUUCCCGUCUUCAAAACCCGCCGCGAACGGCAACGGCACCGUCUCUGCCGCCGCGCCUCCCCCCGUAAAGCCCCCACUCCGCCCGCCGUACCGUCCCCAGCCCCACGCACGCCGCCACCACCACCGGCCCCGCCGCAGCUACUGCUGCUGCUGCUGCUUCUGGACCAUUCUCGUAAUUCUCAUCCUCGCUCUACUCGCCGCCAUCGCCGCCACCGCUCUUUACGUCCUCUACCGGCCCCAUCGCCCCGAAUUCUCCGUCCCCUCCCUCCGGCUUCACCGCCUCAACCUCACCUCCUCCGCCGACUCAUCGACCAACCACGUCGCCACUCUCUUGAACUUCACCGUCACUUCGAAGAACCCAAACUCCCACAUCACUUUCUACUACGACCCGUUCGUUAUUUCUGCCUUGUCCUCGAGUGACGUAUUCCUCGGAAAUGGGACUGUGCCUGGUUUCUUUUCGGACAAAAAGAACCAGACCUUUCUCAAAAACGCGGUCGUCUCGGGAUCCAUUGAUCUUGACACGGAUUCGGUGAAGUCAUUGAAGUCGGAUCUGAAGAAAAAGAGUGGGGUUUCCUUAAAAAUAAAGCUGGACACGAAGGUGAAAGUGAAAGUGGGGAAGCUCAGCAGCAAGAAGGUGGGCAUUAGGGUUACGUGUGAAGGUUUUAGAGCGGCAUUACCAAAAGGUAAGUCACCGUCGGUGGCUACCGUUGAUAAGUCUAAGUGUAAGGUCGAUCUUCGGAUCAAGAUCUGGAAAUUUACUUUUUAGUUUUUCUUCUUUCUUUCUUUUUCUUUUUCUUUUUUAAAAUUUAAUUCAGCUGUUUGUUCCCCCACACACAAACCCCAACCCCCCCUUCUUCUUUCCCUUUUUUUUGGGUUAUAUUUUUGAGAGUUUGUUAACUGUUUAUUCUGAUGAAGAUGAACAUGAAAGGUGAAUUAUGGAGUUGAGAAAUUGGAAAUUGAUAAUGUGAGUAGAGAGAGUGAAAGAGGAGAAAGGUGUUAAAUUUAGAAUUUUAUCCCAAAAAUCUGCCUUUUUUUUUUUUUUUUUUAAGUGUUGUAAGUGAAUUUGGUUGAUAUAUAUAUAAUUGGUUCAUUGAGAAUUGAAUUAUGAGAGUAUUACUUUUGUUAAUUUACAUGGUCUAUAGCAUAAUUAUGCAAAAGCAUAAUUCAAUGAAUUCGAUGUUAAUUGUACUAACGCAUUUGACGAAGUGCUGUGCUUGUGAAAGCGGCGGGCAUUUAUACUUUUAUGGGGUUGUUGAUCAUUCAGGAAAGAUGAUAUGAUGACUUCUCAGGAUUGUUGAUGAAUUUAGAGAGUGGGUAACCUGAAGGGUCCGUUUUGCCAGUUUUGAGUUGCAUUUUUCAAGUCUUGUUAGUAAUAAAAAAUAAAAAAUUGAGAAUUUUAGUAAAUAAUUUGGAUAUGGAGUUAAAAGUUUUGAAGAAGAGAUGACCAACAAUUUAAUUUGGUUUGAGUCUCAUUGUUGGUCAUGGGAACCAAUUAGAGCAAGACCCCGUGGGUGGCUGCCCACCUUCCAGCUCAUGGUACGCACGAUUGCAUUUAAGAUAUGAAAUUUGUAGGCCUGUUCAGCUAUCACAUUGUAGUAGUUGUAGUAGUAGUAGCAGUAGAUCUGAUGGGGGGGAAGCGGCAUUGAAUUGAUUGAAAAAUGAGGUGUGAGUUGAAAUCUUAAUUUAUUUCUGUGCCUAUCACAUUUGAGUUUAGUGGUGACCAGGGAACGAUAGAAAAUAAUAGUGUAAUAAGAAUGAAAUCUUGACUUUAUAAAUGAUAUGAAAGCUUUGGUUUUUCCUGUAAGUUGAUUAAUGGGGGGGGGGGGUCGUCCCGUCCACAUCCAUUAAAGUGGUCUUCGUCCGUCGCGUGCAUCUGAAUCUGAUCUCACUUCCGUUCCACCAACCAUGCUACAAAUUAAUCAUCUUUUACUCCGCUUAAUUUACUAUACUACUACGCUUUGGAAGAUAGAUUGAUUGAGAAAGAAGAAAUGCCAAAAAAAAAGAAAAUGAACUACUUGGCAAGCAAUGGAUAAAGCCAUAAAGGAGAGCAUUGCAUUCAAAAGUGAACCUCCCGAUAUCAUGAUAAAUAGGGAGCGAAGUACACGAACAUGAACAUGAACAUUGUUUGUCGUCUCUCGUGGUGUGACGAUGUGGAGAAAAGCCGAAAGGUAAAAGUGGAGUUAAAUUCGGAUGCACGUGCUUUGUGUGCGUACGUGGUCUGCUCGGACAGGGGCAGUUAGAAUUUUGUCAGUGCCCACUCCCCACUGCCCAUCUGGCUCCUUUUCUUUGCACCGACUUUUAUUUUUAUUGAGGAGAUAAAGAAUCAAAGGAGACGGACAAGAGGAGCCUCUUCUUCUUUUUUUAAUUUCUCUUUGAUUAAAACGAUGAAAAAAAUUAUUAAUAAAAUGUGAAAAAUUGGACAUAAAAGUGAAUUUUAAAAAAAUUAGUGCACCUCAAUACUGAAAAAAACCUGAAUAUAGCGGGACUUGGCUUGUAAAUUCUGUACCAGUCUUAGUAUCACCGCCUACACAACUCUCCAACCCAUACUCUCUUAGUACUUCAUACGCAAUUCUCUUUUUUCUGCAUCACCACCGACACAUUUCACCAAUUGUUCACGACAAAUGAUAACCUGAAGCCUCCAAUCCAAGCAAUGAUAGGCUACGUCUUAUUCUUUCAUCAACACCAGCGCGUACCAUGACCAAACUUGGAUACCAAUCAAAAUGAAGUUAUUGGAUCCGCUUGUCAAACAGGUACAAACAAUUCCUGCAGCAAAAAAUUAUAACGCUUUCACACCAUACGUCUAGUGUCUACAUCCGUAGAACUGGCGGCUGCUCGAAGAGGAUCCAUUGUCGUUCGUUGCAUUUGCCUUCCGAAAUAAUUAAUUAAGGCAAUCUUGUACGCUUACGCAUAAUCGCUUACCGCGUGUGCACGAGCUCAGGCUGCUGCUGUUGAUUUGUUAAAAGCUGUAUUUCGGCAAUUAAAGGUGUGUUUGGGAGUGAAGGUGUUAUAGUUUUUAAGCUGCAGUUGUUGUGGAGGAAAAGAUACCGUCGUGGAAUAAAAAUUGUAAAAAUAAUUUUGUUAAGCUGCCAAAGUUCAGUUACAAAUAUUACAAAACAGUUUAGUAACUGAACUUUGACGGUCCAACUAUUUCACCACACUCUUAAACGGGUUAUAAGUUACCCAACUAAAAACACUUAUAAUCCCUCCCACACGAUCUCUGGUGCGAGCUUCGGCUUCAAUCUCGAUAUAUAGACACUUCAAAUAUCUAUUUCUUAAUUUCUUGAGGUUCAAUGUUGGAUAUGUAAUCAGUGCCUCUAUUCUCUUCCAUAUAUAAGUCUUUGAUGAUCUUCUCCCAGUAUUUUUCUUCAUUUAUAGUAACGUUAUGUCAACCAUAUCAAAUGCAACGAAUCACAUACCACAUUUUCUUUGAUGCAAUACUAAAAACGUGUAACAUACAUAACAUCACCCUAACAAACAUGCAAUUAACUUUAAUUUAAUGUGAUUAACAGAUAUGUUAAAACUUGAUAUCAAAAUGCCUGCAGCAUAAUAGUCACAGUAAGGGAAAUAUGAGGUUCAAGUUUUAACAGGAUGCGAUAGUUGCAAUCAUGAUAACAGCAUGCGAGUAACUUUUUUAGUUAUCAUUAUAACUCUUAUUCCCUCUGUAUUGUAAAUAUUAUGAGAAAAGAUAAUAGUACGCCUGUAAUUUGGCGAAACCAUAACAAAAAUCCAUUUUAUUUUCAUUAGUGAUCAUGUGUAGCUCUUUGUGGACAACUAUGCCUUUUGAGUACUGACCCAAGUGUAUUCAUGUGGACACAAUCGUCCAAAAAAAGAUUUGUGUGGUAAUUUUUUAGUUAGUCCCGUAAAUUUAUUUUCUUAAUACCAUUUUAUAGUAAUAGUACAAAUAAAUAACAGUAAUAAUAAUAAUAAUAACAACAACAUUAAACAGAUAAAUAACAGUAACAAUAAAUAACCUUUUGUUGUAUGUUUGUACAUUUUUAUUAAAACAUCAUUAAACAGAUACAUUAUUUUACACAAGGUUUGAUUAAACAUCUUUUUUUUUUGCAAAUUAAUAUAACUGAAAAUAAAUAAAAAUGUAUAUUAAGCUAUCCGGAUCUGCAAUGCUUCAUUUUCUUAUCUUUCAUUCGGUGAAACAGUAUAAAUUCUAAGGUGAAUCUUGCAAAAGAAAUCUGAAAAUAGGGAAAAGAUAGUUCUGUAUCAGCCACUCGCCGGAAAAUAUUAGUUAUAACUUCUGUUCUGUGCUCAUAUAUUUCCAUGACAGGUUGUAAGUUUGUACCCAUCUAUUAAACUGCUAACAAGUUUUUUUUUUUUUUCCAAAUCUAUUUUGUUUUGUAAAAGGUAAGGGGUGGAGGUGGACAAAUAGAAUGUAAGAUUUUCUGUAGUACUUUGAGGAUAACAAUGAAAUGAAGAAAGAAAAUUUAAAAAAAAAAAUUAACAACGCAGUCCAAGUAUCUCUGCCUGCCUGGAGUCCAUUUGGUAUUUUGCUAAUGCUUAGCUUGUGGGACCAUUCAGAUAGCGUAACAUUCAAUUUAACAGGUAAAGACAAUGUUGUCUCCUUCAGUUCUAACUGGAAAUCUCUUCUUCUUAGUUGUUCUUUGAAAGCUCAACCCUCAAAACCCCUCAUGUCCGUCAUUCACCCAAACACGGUUGACAUUUGAAACCGACUGCUGCGUGUGAUGUGUUAAAAAAGCUUGUCUUACUUUAUAGCCCGCAAUCCUACUAUUAUGGUGUCCGCUUACAAGUAAUUGGAAUAAGAAUUCUAGAAUCGAAAUUAAUAAUGCGUUUAUAUAAAUUUAAAGUUUUGAAUCAGAAUGAAAUUUAUUCGGGUUAUAUAAAUUUAAAAAUUAUUAUUGGGGUGCUUAUUCUCAAAAUCCUACUCUUAUAGAUUGACAAAAAUACUCCCAUCUAAAUUUUUAAAUUCUACUUUCUCCUCGUUAGUUCACGAAAAUAUAAUAAAGAGAAAAGGACACAGAGACCCCUAAUAUUUGAAUAAGGGACACAGAGACCCCUAACGUUUGAAAAAGGGACACAAAACCCCCUAAGGUUUCAAAAAAGACACUCAGACCCCCAUUUGUUAACAUAAAUUAUAAUUUUAAAGUGUAAUUAUCAUUAUACCCUUAUAGCAUAUUAAAAAAUAAUUGUUCAUUGUCCAAUUUAUUCGUAUAUUAUUAAUAAAAUUACGAAUAUAACUUCAUUAUCCAAUUUUUUCAUUUAAUUUUUGUCAAAUUUUCUCUUCAACUAAAUAAAUUUAAUUCAUUGCUCAAGAAUAAAAAUAAAUUAAAUUGAUUACUAAUAUAAUAAAAAUAACAAUUCUCAAUAACAAUUCUUCAUUUAAACUUAUAUAAUCAACAAAAUAAAAAAAAAUUGGUUACAACAAUAAUUACAAAAUUUUAAUUGUACUAAAUAAAAUGGAAAAAUUGGGUAAUGAAGUUAUAUUCAUAAUUUUAUUAAUAAUAUAGAAAUAAAUUGGACAAUGAACAAUUAUUUUUUAAUAUGCUAUAAGGGUAUAAUGGUAAUUGCACUUUAAAAUUAUAAUUUCUGUUAAUAAAUAAGGGUCUUAGUGUCUUUUUUGAAACCU